Molecule: long non-coding RNA, 250 nt
Filed under: Sorghum bicolor (sorghum)
Lineage: Eukaryota; Viridiplantae; Streptophyta; Magnoliopsida; Poales; Poaceae
Description: long non-coding RNA (SBIC_LNC008746)
Source: RNAcentral
GACAAACCCGCCUUUUCAUACGGGCAGGUACUCCACUGAUCCAUAUGGAGCUUCAGGAUCCAGACCUCCGCCCCAAUUUGAUGCAGGACGAUACUCCGACGCCUCCUACGCUUUCACGAAUGACUACUACCAAGAGGCCGGUGCUUUCUUCACCCGUACCGACAACACUCUCCUCGACAUCCAGAACACGCAAGCAGAACAUGGACGACUCCUGGAAGAGCAACAAAAAUGGAACCAGGACCAUGCCACU